Long non-coding RNA from Perca fluviatilis (European perch), 567 nucleotides. RefSeq lists it as uncharacterized. NCBI's taxonomy places the organism in Eukaryota, Metazoa, Chordata, Actinopteri, Perciformes, Percidae. The record is from RefSeq and is a predicted model, not a curated record. The transcript has 3 exons.
GUGUAUACAUCUGCUAUAACCCAUGUGUAUAAUCUGCUAUAACCCAUGUGUAUAAUCUGCUAUAACCCAUGUGUAUAAUCUGCUAUAACCCAUGUUUAUACAUCUGGUGACAAACAGGUUAUUAGUUAGUCGACCUAUCAGCAUCCUACCAGUCAUCUCAAAGGUCAUUGAAACUGUAAACACCUUCCCAGGUGAUCCUGGUUCUCCAGGGGGAAUGUGCACAUGGAGUCAAAACCAGGGAUGUUGCUGGUGGUGAAGAAACUGAUAUUUUUCAGGUGGACCUGGUUAUAUCUUGGCCUGGUAGAAAAACCACAUGUUCCCCAAUGUCAACAAUAUGCCCAAACAGCAAACAUUACAUUAUUUUACAUCUUAUUUAGCUUACAGUUGCUACAUAUGUCAGAGGUUGCCCGCCUCUGGAGCAACUCGGUGUGCUUUGCUCAGGGACACAUUGGUUGAUGUAUCGCAGUGGGAAUAAAAACUGAAAUUCUAUUUUCCCCUUUUACAGGGGCACAAUAUGUGUGUAUGUGUAUAUGUGUGUGUGUAUAUGUGUGUGUGUGUGUGUGUGUG